UCCCUGGUGGCCAGUGGUUAAGACUCUGUGCUCCCAAUGCAGGGGGCCCGGGUUCAAUCCCUGGUCAGGGAG
This 72-nucleotide transfer RNA is filed under the name Ovis aries (sheep). It matches the Rfam family "tRNA". From Rfam's summary of the family: Transfer RNA (tRNA) molecules are approximately 80 nucleotides in length. Their secondary structure includes four short double-helical elements and three loops (D, anti-codon, and T loops). The record is from Rfam by way of RNAcentral. Lineage: Eukaryota; Metazoa; Chordata; Mammalia; Artiodactyla; Bovidae.